UGCAGUCGAACGAUGAAGCCUUUCGGGGUGGAUUAGUGGCGAACGGGUGAGUAACACGUGGGCAAUCUGCCCUUCACUCUGGGACAAGCCCUGGAAACGGGGUCUAAUACCGGAUAACACACUGUUCCGCAUGGGACGGUGUUGAAAGCUCCGGCGGUGAAGGAUGAGCCCGCGGCCUAUCAGCUUGUUGGUGGGGUAAUGGCCUACCAAGGCGACGACGGGUAGCCGGCCUGAGAGGGCGACCGGCCACACUGGGACUGAGACACGGCCCAGACUCCUACGGGAGGCAGCAGUGGGGAAUAUUGCACAAUGGGCGAAAGCCUGAUGCAGCGACGCCGCGUGAGGGAUGACGGCCUUCGGGUUGUAAACCUCUUUCAGCAGGGAAGAAGCGAAAGUGACGGUACCUGCAGAAGAAGCGCCGGCUAACUACGUGCCAGCAGCCGCGGUAAUACGUAGGGCGCAAGCGUUGUCCGGAAUUAUUGGGCGUAAAGAGCUCGUAGGCGGCUUGUCACGUCGGAUGUGAAAGCCCGGGGCUUAACCCCGGGUCUGCAUUCGAUACGGGCUAGCUAGAGUGUGGUAGGGGAGAUCGGAAUUCCUGGUGUAGCGGUGAAAUGCGCAGAUAUCAGGAGGAACACCGGUGGCGAAGGCGGAUCUCUGGGCCAUUACUGACGCUGAGGAGCGAAAGCGUGGGGAGCGAACAGGAUUAGAUACCCUGGUAGUCCACGCCGUAAACGUUGGGAACUAGGUGUUGGCGACAUUCCACGUCGUCAGUGCCGCAGCU
This 781-nucleotide ribosomal RNA is filed under the name Streptomyces badius. RNAcentral's name for it is "bacterial SSU rRNA". It matches the Rfam family "Bacterial small subunit ribosomal RNA", at positions 56 to 853 of the family's 1533-position model. The record is from RNAcentral. Lineage: Bacteria; Bacillati; Actinomycetota; Actinomycetes; Kitasatosporales; Streptomycetaceae.